This is a long non-coding RNA of Gavialis gangeticus (Gharial), 555 nucleotides long. RefSeq lists it as uncharacterized. The transcript is spliced from 2 exons. The record is from RefSeq and is a predicted model, not a curated record. Lineage: Eukaryota; Metazoa; Chordata; Crocodylia; Gavialidae.
GCCUACAGCCUGACAAUCUCUGCAUUUGUUCUGGGAGUCGACAUGACUCAUAGGGGGAUGUGGUAAAGGUUGCAAAUGACCCUGUGGUGAAACACUGGAGAGCAUUGUGCCAAGCUGGGAAAUGCAGCUGAUCCGAGGGAGAUUCCUUCUGCCGCUGUUCUCCAGACCUCUGUCUCCAGGGUGUUUGAGAGCAGAGAUGCCGGGUGUCCCUUGUGUGGCACUACAGCUGGUUCUUGUGAGGAUCUAUUGAGGUUGGCAGGAGAAGGCAUCCUUAGCUUUCCAAUGUACCCUACUGCGCCAGCCAUGAUUCACCUCUAGGUAAUUCCUUAGAUUGCCCGUGGAGAAGCGCAGGCCCGAUCCAAUUCCUACUGAUGUCAGUGGGAGUUCUCCCACCGCGUCCCAUGGCUGCUUGAUCAAGUCCUAAACAGAGGGAAAUAUAACAACAUUUGGACCUUACAGAAAAAUUGUAGUGAUAAUCCAAGACACUGCAGUCACAGUGCCAAAAUCUGCAGUGUUAUGGAUCAUUCCUGUAAAAUACUGCAGGCCUUUUCUAUU